This 22779-nucleotide long non-coding RNA is filed under the name Sorghum bicolor (sorghum). RNAcentral's name for it is "long non-coding RNA (SBIC_LNC005411)". The record is from RNAcentral. Lineage: Eukaryota; Viridiplantae; Streptophyta; Magnoliopsida; Poales; Poaceae.
AGAAGGUUCUGUAUGGCUCUGGGCAGCUUCAGGGAGCCGCACAGGACUGGUGGGAUUCAUAUUGCUUUGCACAUCAAGACCCGGAUACUAUCACUUGGGAUGAGUUCAAGGUCGCCUUCAAGACUCAUCAUGUGCCUGCUGGAUUGGUGAAGCUGAAGAAGAAGGAGUUUCUGUCUCUGAAGCAGGGCUCCAUGACAGUUUGUGAGUACCGUGACAAGUUCACUCAAUUGUCGCGGUAUUGCCCCAAUGAAGUGGAGAAUGAUGAAGACAAGCAAGACCACUUUCUGGAAGGUUUGAAUGAUGGUCUGUCCUACAUGAUGUCGAAUGUCAAGUAUGCCAGUUUCCAGGAGAUGGUGGACAGGGCAUUGGUGCUUGAGAGCAAGCGCCGCAAGAUGGAAGACAAGAAGAGGAAGUAUAAUUCCUCUCAGCAGCAGGCUGGUGCCAGUCGUCCCCGUUACAACAACCAGCAGGGCCCUCAGUCUCGCCCUGCAUAUCAGUCAGGCAACCAAGGACAGCAACAGAACGUCAGGUACAGCAACCAGGGUCAGCAGACGAGCCAGCGCUACAACAACAACCAAGUGCAGCGCCCCGCUAGUCAGGCGCCUCGCCAGAAUGCCCCAGCACCAUCAGGCUCUCGCCAGAACUCCAACACUGUCCCAAUGAAACCCAAUGUCAACCCCGCCCCCACUGGAAAUACCUGCUUCAAGUGUGGUCAGCUUGGACACUACGCGAAUGCUUGCCCCCAGAGGCAGAAGAAUAACAACAACAAUGGAAGGGUGAAUCAUGUGAAGCUGGAAACUGCUGAGGAGGCUCCAGAUGUGGUAGUUGGUAUGUUUCUUGUCAACUCUUGCCCAGCUACUGUUUUGUUUGAUACUGGAGCAUCGCAUACUUUUAUAAGUGCACAGUUUGUUGAGAAACAUAGUAUAGCCACCUGUACCAUGCAAAACACCAUGCUAGUUAAAUCACCUGGGGGAAAGAUGCAUACUAAUACUUUGUGUCCGGGAAUGAGCAUUAAAAUAAGGGGGGUAGAUUUUCCUGUCAAUCCUAUUGUGUUGGGUUCAGAAGGUUUAGAUAUGAUAUUGGGAAUGAGAUGGUUGUCCAAGUUUAAGGGUACUAUUCAGUGUGCUGAGAAGACAGUGGCUCUAACCGCACCUAGUGGGAACAGAAUUGAGGUCAGAGUUUCUAUGUCACCUAGUAGCGAAGGAACAGUUUACCAUCUGAGCAGUGGGUCAGUAGAAGAUAUUCGAGUGGUGAAAGAGUUCCCUGAUGUGUUCCCAGAGGAUUUGCCAGGUAUGCCACCUGAACGUGAGAUUGAAUUUGUUAUUGAUUUAUUACCUGGUACUGCACCCAUAUCUAAGAGACCUUAUAGAAUGGCUGUUAAUGAGUUAGAAGAACUUAAGAAACAACUAAGGGAGUUACAGUCUAAGGGGUAUAUCCGUCCUAGUUCCUCACCUUGGGGAGCUCCAGUUAUCUUUGUAGAGAAGAAGGAUGGGACACAGAGGAUGUGUGUAGACUAUAGAUCUUUGAAUGAGGUCACCAUUAAGAAUAAAUACCCUUUGCCUAGAAUAGAGGACUUGUUUGACCAGUUGAAAGGAGCUUGUGUGUUUUCCAAAAUAGAUCUGAGGUCAGGUUAUCACCAGUUGAGGAUUAAACCUAAUGAUAUUCCAAAGACUGCGUUCACCACCAGAUAUGGACUCUAUGAAUAUACAGUUAUGUCUUUUGGAUUGACGAAUGCUCCAGCGUACUUUAUGUAUCUGAUGAAUAAAGUUUUUAUGGAGUAUUUGGAUAAGUUUGUGGUAGUCUUUAUUGAUGAUAUCUUGAUCUACUCCAAGACUGAGGAAGAACAUGAGGAUCACCUGAGGCUUGUGUUGCAGAAAUUGAGGGAACAUCAGCUCUAUGCCAAGCUGAGUAAGUGUGACUUCUGGUUGAAGGAAGUGUCUUUUCUUGGUCAUGUCAUUUCAAAUGGUGGAGUUGCUGUCAGUCCGAAGAAUGUGGCAGAUGUUCUUAAGUGGAGUCCGCCUCAGACUGUUGGAGAGAUCAGAAGUUUUCUUGGAAUGGCCGGUUACUAUCGGAGAUUCAUUGAAGGGUUUUCCAGUAUUGCCAAGCCCAUGACUGCUUUGUUAGAGAAGGGUAAGCCAUUCAAGUGGAAUGAACAGUGUCAGGCUAGUUUUGAGGAGUUGAAGAAGAGGUUGACUACUGCACCAAUUUUGACUUUGCCAGAUGUGACUAAAAGCUUUUCUAUCUAUUGUGAUGCUUCCAAGCAAGGUUUGGGAUGUGUACUGAUGCAAGAGGGAAAGGUGAUUGCCUAUGCAUCUAGGCAGUUGAAGAAACAUGAGGUGAAUUAUCCAACUCAUGACCUUGAGUUAGCAGCUGUGGUACAUUCACUAAAGAUCUGGAGACACUAUAUUCUGGGUCAUAAGUGUGAUAUCUACACGGAUCACAAGAGUCUGAAAUACAUCUUCACUCAGAAUGAUUUGAACCUGAGACAGAGAAGAUGGUUAGAGUUGAUCAAGGACUAUGAACUGGAGAUUCAUUACCACCCUGGCAAGGCUAAUGUAGUUGCUGAUGCUCUGAGUAGAAAGAGUCAAGUGAAUAUGUUGGAGGCCACAGAGUUACCGAUAGAACUACUGGCAGAAUUUGAGUAUCUCAAUUUGGGAUUUGUUGCUAAUACCCAAGGUACUUCCAUGGACAUAGAACCAACUCUUGAGCAAGAGAUCAGAAAAGGUCAGAAAGAGGAUGAAGAAAUCAAAAAGAUACUUAGGCUGAUAGAGGAAGGAAGAGCACCUGGAUUCAAAGUUGAUCAAGAAGGGAUUGUUUGGCACAAGGACCGAUUGUGUGUGCCUGAUAUUCAGAGAAUCAAGGAUGUGAUACUGAAGGAAUGCCAUGAAUCUGCUUACUCUAUUCAUCCAGGAGGUACUAAGAUGUAUCAGGACUUGAAGCAAAACUAUUGGUGGCCUGGUAUGAAGAAAGAUAUUGGUGAAUAUGUGGCAUUGUGUGACACCUGUCAGAGAGUGAAAGCGGAACAUCAGAGGCCAGCAGGGUUGUUGCAACCGUUGAAGAUACCUGAGUGGAAGUGGGAUGAGAUCAGCAUGGACUUCAUAGUGGGAUUGCCGAAAACUCAACGAGGUUAUGACUCAAUAUGGGUUGUAGUAGAUCGAUUGACCAAGGUAGCUCAUUUCAUACCGGUCAGAACUAACUACCGUGGAGAUCAGUUAGCAGAAAAGUAUAUGGAACGGAUUGUGUGUCUGCAUGGAGUUCCUAAGAGGAUUGUGUCUGAUAGAGGUACACAGUUUACAUCAAAGUUUUGGGAGAAGCUACAUGAUGCUUUGGGAACCGAGCUCAGAUUCAGUACUGCUUAUCACCCUCAGUCCGAUGGUCAGACAGAGAGAGUCAACCAGAUAGUAGAGGAUAUGCUCAGGUCUUGUGCUUUGCAGUAUGGGGAUAGUUGGGAUGCUAGUUUGCCCUACGCUGAGUUCUCCUAUAACAACAGUUAUCAGACUAGUCUUAAGAUGACUCCUUUCGAAGCCUUGUAUGGAAGGAAGUGUAGGACUCCAUUGUUCUGGAACCAGACUGGUGAAAGGCAAGUGUUCGGCCCUGAUUCAUUGAGAAUAGCCGAAGAAAGAGUUCAGUUCAUCCGACAGACUCUGAAGGCAGCUCAGUCUAGACAGAAGAGUUAUGCCGAUGUGAGACGAAGGGAACUUGUAUUUCAGGCAGGUGAUUAUGUAUACCUGAAAGUGUCUCCGAUGAGAGGUCUAAAGAGGUUCAAUGUCAAGGGAAAGCUAGCUCCAAGAUACGUUGGUCCUUUCAAGAUCUUGGAAAGAAAAGGAGAAGUGGCUUAUGAGCUUGAAUUGCCUGCCAGCUUAUCCAAUGUGCACAAUGUUUUCCAUGUCUCCCAAUUCAAGAAAUGUUUGAGAGUGCCUGAGGAACAGUUGCCACUAGAGGAACUGGAUUUACAGGAUGAUCUAACUUAUGAAGAGAGUCCUAUCAAAGUCCUGGACACAGCAGAGAGAAUUACUAGGAGUAAAACUAUCAGGAUGUGUAAAGUACAAUGGAGACACCAUUCCGAGGAAGAAGCAACCUGGGAAAGAGAAGAAGAUCUAAUAUCCAAAUACCCUCAGUUAUUCCCUGGUUCAUCCUAAUCUCGAGGACGAGAUUCCUUUAAGGGGGGUAGGUUUAUAACACUCCAAAUUUUUGAAUUUCAAAUUCAGUUCAAAUUUGAUUUAAUUUUGGCAUAGUUUGAAUUUUUAGAGAAUUAUUAAAUAAUUUACAAAAUUAAAUAAAAUUAAAUAUAAGGUAGAAAACUUGUUCGUGUGCAUUCAUGCCGCUGCAUUUAUUUUGUUUGAUUUGUUUGCUUGUGCUUGAAUUAUUUUGUUGGAAGAAAGAAAUAAAUAGGAGAAAUCGGUUUUAAAAAAAAAAAAAAUAAAAGAAAAAAAAAAAAGCUUUUCCCCUCUCCCUGGGCCGGCCUUCCCUCGGCCCAGCGCCCGCGCCUCUCUCCCGCAGCGCCCGAGUGGGCCGCGGCCCAGCCGCGCAGCGGCCGCGCCCCGCGCGCACCCGCGCUGCCCCCGCCCGCAGCCGCUGACGCGUGGGCCCCGCAGGUGGGACCCACCGUCGUCUUCAACCUCCGUCCGAUUCGGACGGGGUGCGCAACCGCCGCGCCGCCUCCUUCUCGGCUUCCGUGCCGCGCGUGGAUCGAGAACCCCGGGACCACCCUAGCCUAUUUAAGGCACCCCUCGGCCGCCCGCACGCGCCCCUAAACCCUAGCCUCGAAACCCGCGCCGCCGCCGUUCUUGCCGAAGCUCGCAGCGCCGCCGACAAGCUUCUCUUCGCCGUCGUCAACUCGCGAAGGUAUGCACGCCAUCGCGUUCGUCGCGUCGAGCCGCGCCCGCCCGUACCCUCGGCUCGGCUGGCCGUGCCCUGCAGCGCCGCCGCUGCAAGCUCGCCGCGGCCGGCCAUGGCGCCGCCGCCUGCGUCCGCUCCCGCUCCGGCGCGCGGUCCACCGUGGACCGCGGCCCAGCGCCCCCGUGCGGCCGGUCCACGUGGACUCGGUCCACGCAGCCAGCACCGCCCCGCGCCCCGGUCCCGGUCCACGGUGGACCGGUGGACCGCCACACCCCCCCCGGUCCACAGCGCCGCCAUGGACCGGGCCAGCCGCGAGCUGCCACGUGGCCAGGCCGGCCACGGUCCCGCGCGCCCCCUGCUGCUUUUGCAGAAAAGCCCUCGGGCUUGUUCAAAAUUAACCCGCAGUCCAGUUCUUUUAAAAAUAUUUAAGUUUAUGCCCUUAGUUUUCGCAGUUUAACCCCUGGUUCGGUUAGAAUUUAUAUAUUUAAUCCAAAAUGAGUUUUAAUUCAGUUUUAAUUAGUUUUAAUUACGAAAAAUAGUUCAGUUUAUCUACAGAAAUGCCAUUUAACUUGUUUUAGCCAUAACUUUUGCGUCGUAACUCCGAUUUAGGUGAUUCUGGUCGCUAUAGUUUCAUUUCGUCGAGUAGAAUGCAGUAGGGCAGUUGCUUUCUGUUUUCGCAUGCUUUGGUGUACUGUUUCUGAUUAAGUUUGUUUGCUUGCAUGUAUUGUUCCUAUGAUUGAUGAUUGUCGCGUAUAGCCAACGAGACGUUCGUGGAGGAAGAGGUUCAGGAUCCCGCGGAGUUCGAGCAACCCGACUUCGACCAAGGCAAGUGCAGACACCGUUUGAUCAUUUUGAACCUACUCAUUAAUGUCGUUUACUUUAUAUGCAUGUGUCCAAUGAAUGCAAACCCUAAGGACAUGACUAGCUUUACUUAUUAUUCCUUGCUCACCUGGGGUUAUGUAUUUGGGUUGACUAGGCUAUACUAGGUCUGCUUAGCUGCUCUACUCAUCUUAUACACAUGUCUAAACAAGAAUUACUCUCUACUUAACUUGAUGCUUAAACUGUGCUGAAUCUUUGGUCACUGCGGUGAUGGCGAUGUUGGAUGCUUGCGAGCAUCGUGAUGAUGGUGGUGACAGGGGGAGCGGGUACCGUUGAUGGUCCGGAUUGCCGGGCGUACCCGUCUCUGCUCUCCGUAAGGACUUAGUCAGGGAGCGGCCCCCUGGGACUUACAGUGCAGCUCCAAGCUAUAUGGCUCUGGCUUGACUAAUUAGCAGGACCUCCACUAGUAGGGUGUUACUUUCCGGGUAGGCGUGAGGAAGUAACUUGGGUAAUGAAUAUUAAGUUGUCGGUUGAUCGGUACGCCAUGGCUAUGGGUAUCGACUGCCGAGCGCCCCGGCAAAAACUUGCGAGUGGCAUCCUAUUAGUUGGACCCUGUGAAAGGUCUCGUAGUGAGACCCCGCCUGCUCACCUUGGAAGUGUUUUGGGGAGUCGCGACCCCGGGCAAAUGGGAAUCACGACUUGGAGUGAACGUGCACACCUCUGCAGAGUGUAAAACUGAUAUAUCAGCCGUGCUCACGGUCACGAGCGGCCCAGACCCUCACUUGAUGAGCAAAUUGGAUUCACUGGUUACUUGGAGAUGGACCUUGGCGAGAUUGCUACCUCGUGUUUUGGCGGAAUGGCUAUUCCGUGAUGGCAGGAUUGCUAUCCUGUGUUAAUAAUUGGGGUUAAUCCCUGGAUCACUAUAAUAAUUAGGAUAGUCUUUUGAAAAGAUGCUAAUUACUACCUACACUAAUUAAGGGUUGGGUUUAUGCUACUCAUAUUAGUAAUAGGUUGUUUUAGUAAUUGUUAUAAUUAAAAGUGAUCAACUAAAAUGCUACCGCAGUCAAACCAAGUCAGCUUUACCUUGUUUUAAGCCUUGCAUGUCAUUACUUUCCGUCUGUGCUUGCUGAGUUCGGCAUGAGCUCACCCUUGCUAUAAUCAUUAAAGGUUGCUCGGACGAUCAGGAGCACAAUUGCGAUUUCCCUGAGGACUACCCUGAGUCUCCUGGUUGUUAGGCUCGUGUGGUUCUACCGUCGACCUUCCUGUGGCAAGGUGGUCCUGCUACGUCGGCGUUUAGUUUUCCCUUUAUUUAUGGAACAGAUUAGUUUAUGUUUCCCCUCCGCACUUUGAUAAACAUUUGGCUUGUAAUAAUGGUACUUUUACUCUCAUUUAUGUAAUUCGUUUGAACACUGUGUUUUGUACCAUUGAUGAUGUCGGUCCAUGUGUGUGAAUUUGAGAUCCUGGCGCACAUGUGAUUUGGCACCCGAAUGCUCUUUUACAUCCGGGUGUGACAGUUGGAGACCUCGGUGGAGGAGGUGGAGACCGUGGUGGAGGCGGUGGCGGGGUCGGUGUGGCCGCCGCAGGUGUUGGAGGAGAUCCAGCAUUGUCACCGCCCGCAGCACUAUGAUGCGCUGGGGAGAGAACUGGACUUAGGUUGGAGGAGUCCCUGCAAAGAAAACAAUUACAAGUUUUGUGAGUAAACUUUUUUUAAAUUUCAAUACAUAAUAAAUAAUAUAAGAAGUAAAAUCACACACAAACCUAUGCUGAGGAAUAAUUAUGAAGCGCUUGCGCCAACAAAUAAAUGUCUUCUCAGCUUCACUAGAAUAACAUACUAAAAAGUCUUUUAAGCCAAGUAAUAUACUAGAAUAAUAUACUAAAAUAUAAUACUAAAAAAUAAUACUAUAAUAAUAGUAUAAACUAAUAGUAUAUGUUUUAAGCCAAGUAAUACACUUGCACAUAGAAUAAUGUACUAAAAAAUUCAUACUACUACAAAUUGAUACAAGAAUAAUAUAAGUGCAUAUAUAUACAUAAUAAGAAAUACACUAGAAUAAUAGAAGUGCUAGAGUGCUCCAAACUAAAAAGUAAUACUAAAAAAAUAAUACAGACAAUAACACUAGAAUAAUAUACUAGCACACAAUAUAUUUCAUAAUAAUUCAAAACACUAGCACAAAAUAUAUUUCAUAACAAUUCAAAACACUACAAUUCAUAAUAUACUAGAAUAACAUACUACAAAGUCUUUUAAGCCAAGUAAUAUACUAGAAUAAUAUACUAAAAUAUAAUACUAAAAAAUAAUACUAAAAUAAUAGUAUAUAAACUAAUACACACUUGCACAUAGAAUAAUGUACUAAAAAAUUAAUAAUACUACAAAAUGAUACAAGAAUAAUAUAAGUGCAUAUAUAUACAUAAUAAUACAAAAUAAUAGUAUAUAAACUAUUCGGUAUGAAAUAUAAGUGCAUAUAUAAUGAUACAAAAUAAUAGUACAUAAUUAAGUGCAUAUAAAAUAAUAGUAUAUAUACAUAAUGAUACAAAAUAUAUUAAUAAUAUAAAAUAAUGAUACAAGAACAAAAUGAUACAAGAAUAAUAGUAUAUAUAUAUACAUACAUACACAUAUAUAUAUAUAUAUAUCUUAUAUAUAUAUAUAAGAGAUAUAUAUAUAUAUAUAAACUGUUGGUUGUUGGUAUUCAUAUAUAUAUAUAUAUAUAUAUAUAUAUAUAUAUAUAUAUAUAUAUAUAUAUGUAUAUGUAUAUAUAUAUAUAAACUGUUGGUGUUCAUAUAUAUCUAUACAAUUUAUAUAUACAAUUUUAGUCUAUACAUAUAAACUGUUUUGACAUCCAUCCAUAUAUAUAUAUAUAUAUACACACGAGCGAUCGAUACACAUGAAGAAAUAUACGUAGAUCUGUGGAGAGCCGCUGCAGCGACGCUGGAGACGAACGGCGGCGCUGUAGAUGGCGGCGGCGGCGCUGUAGAUGGCGGCGGCGGCGCUGGAGACGAACGGCGGCGCUGGGAGACGAAUGGGCGGCGCUGGACGACGGCGGCGCGGAGAUCUCUGCUCGACGAAGACGAAGACGAAGGGAACUGCCCAGAUCCAGGGCUCCUGCACACAUUUAUAGGUGCGGACCCUUUAGCACCGGUCCGUGGCUGGAACCGGUGCUAAAGGGUCUUUAACACCGGCUGGUAAAAAGAGCCGGUGUUAAAGGGUCACCCUUUAGCACCGGCUCGUGUUACCAGCCGGUGCUAAAGGGACCCUUUAGCACCGGUUCUAACCACGGACCGGUGCUAAAGUGUCCUAGGCGGGCUCGGGCGGGGUUCUGAAAUUUUCAGGACCCUUUAGCACCGGUUCCCACUAUGGGCCGGUGCUAAAGGCCCAUUUUUUUAGUUUAGGGUUUUUCAAUUGUUUUAUAUAUACAGUUUAUAUUAUAAAUUGUAUAGUAAAUUAAAUAUUUUGCAUAAUGUUUUUUAAAUAGUGACAUAUAUUGUAAUUUGUUUUAAUGUACACAUGAAAAUUUUUAAACUUAAAUAUCUUAUUGUAUUUUUAUAAUUUACAACGAUUUUGUAAGAAAUGUUUAGUAUUUUGUUAAUGCAAAAAUAUAUUAUUCCAAUAAAUUUACAAAAACUAUAUCCAAUGAACUGGAAAUUUAUUUUCACAUCAUAUUGACGUAAAACUUUUUAUUUUUGUUAUUUAUUACUAGGAAUGCUACUUGGGUAUAAUUUUCAUCAAAUAAAAAAUCAUAUAAAAAUAUAUAUCUUGAUGAACACACCCUUUGACCGAACCCUAGAUUGUCCCAAAUGGAAUAGUCAUGAAUACAAAGUUUGCUACACUCAUCAAGUUCUACAUUUUGUCUAAUGGUCAACUUUUCAUUUGGAAAAGUUUGAACCACUGAAUUUUGAAUUUUCAUGGAACUCAUAGCCACGCAGCGGUUUCGGAACCCUACAUGGUCUCGAAUGGAAAAGUCAUGAAUACCAAUAUUGUUCCACUCAUCAAAAUCUACAUUUCAUAUAUAGACCAUUUUUGCAUUUGACAAAGUUUUGGGAAGGUGUAGUUGAAAAUCCACAAUUGACACAUAUAGUUUCAUAUAGUUUGUGUGAGAACUUAGAAUUGGUGGGUAUUGUUAACUUAGAUUUUCUCAAAUGGAAAAGUUGUGUAUAUAAAAAGUUUAGAUCUUGAAGAUAUCUAACAACUUGGUAUUCAAAAUAUUUUCAUUUGAAGUAAUUUAGUUUGUCAUUUGACCAAGUUUGACCGAAACCCGUCUUGGAUUUUAUAGAAAUGUAACUAGAAUUGGCUCAAAAUUAUCCAAAUGGAAAAAUGGACAAUAUAUAAAAUAUAGAUUUUGAUGAUCUCUAACAACUUUGUAUUCAAACUUUUUUCAUUUCAAGUCAUCAAAUGGGCUAUUUGACCAAAGUCAAAGCAUUGGUUUUUACAAACACACCCUUUGACCGAACCCUAGAUUGUCCCAAAUGGAACAGUCAUGAAUACAAAGUUUGCUACACUCAUCAAGUUCUACAUUUUGUCUAAUGGUCAACUUUUCAUUUGGAAAAGUUUGAACCACUGAAUUUUGAAUUUUCAUGGAACUCAUAGCCACGCAGCGGUUUCGGAACCCUACAUGGUCUCGAAUGGAAAAGUCAUGAAUACCAAUAUUGUUCCACUCAUCAAAAUCUACAUUUCAUAUAUAGACCAUUUUUGCAUUUGACAAAGUUUUGGGAAGGUGUAGUUGAAAAUCCACAAUUGACACAUAUAGUUUCAUAUAGUUUGUGUGAGAACUUAGAAUUGGUGGGUAUUGUUAACUUAGAUUUUCUCAAAUGGAAAAGUUGUGUAUAUAAAAAGUUUAGAUCUUGAAGAUAUCUAACAACUUGGUAUUCAAAAUAUUUUCAUUUGAAGUAAUUUAGUUUGUCAUUUGACCAAGUUUGACUGAAACCCGUCUUGGAUUUUAUAGAAAUGUAACUAGAAUUGGCUCAAAAUUAUCCAAAUGGAAAAAUGGACAAUAUAUAAAAUAUAGAUUUUGAUGAUCUCUAACAACUUUGUAUUCAAACUUUUUUCAUUUCAAGUCAUCAAAUGGGCUAUUUGACCAAGUUUGACCAAAGUCAAAGCAUUGGUUUUUACAAACACACCCUUUGACCGAACCCUAGAUUGUCCCAAAUGGAACAGUCAAGCCGACACAACAGUGAACUUCUUCUUGACGUAUGACCCUUGGUUAUGAUCCUGCCGUAACCAUGGAGUAUCCUCAUUGUUUAACAGAAUGCUUGGGUCUUUGUUGACUAUGAAGGGCGGAAUUCGAUCAUCCCUUUCGUAAUCGCCUGACAUGUCUGACUUGUCCUCAAUUCCGACAAUGUUUCUUUUCCCAGAAAGGACAAUGUGGCGCUUUGGCUCAUUGAUGAUUGAGUGGUCAUCAUUUUUUCCUCUCUUUGGUUUCGUAGACAUAUCUUUGACAUAGAACACCUGACUCACGUCUGCAGCAAGGACGAAUGGUUCGUCUUUGAACCCACUAUUGUUAAGGUCCACGGUUGUCAUCCCAUACUCCUUGUCGACUGUUACCCCACCUCCGGUCAUCUUCACCCAUUGGCACCGGAACAAAGGAACUUUAAAAUUAGCUGCAUAGACUAGUUCCCAUAUGUCUUCUAUGCGUCCAUAAUAUGUUUGCCUGUUCCCAUUUGGAUCCGUGGCAUCCACGCGUACACCACUAUUUUGGUUGGUGCUCCUUUUAUCUUGGCCAACUGUGUAAAAUGUGUUACCAUUUAUCUCGUACCCUUUGUAUGUGAGGACAUGCCAUGAUGGUUGCCUGGCCAACAAAUAAAGCUGCUCAUCAAUGUUUUCAUCACCUUGACAUUUUUUGCGCAACCAAUCGCCAAAAGUUUCCAUGUGCUGACGCAUUAUCCAAGCUUCAUUCUUCCCGGGCCACUGGGACCGUAGGUAAUCUUUGUGUACCUCAACAUAUGGUUCCACCAAUGAGGAGUUCUGGAGAACUGUGUAGUGUGCUUUAUUGAAGUAAUCGUUUCCCGUACCAAUAUAUGUUUUCUUCCCAAGUGUUCCCUUUCCGCUGAGUCUGCCCUCGUGUCGAGAUUCAGGAAUGCCAAUUGGGUCAAGGUCUGGAAUAAAGUCAACACAGAACUCUAUGACCUCCUCUGUUCCGUAGCCCUUGGCAAUGCUUCCUUCUGGCCGGGAACGACUAUGGACAUAUUUCUUUAGGACACCCAUGAAUCUCUCGAAGGGGAACAUGUUGUGUAGGAACACAGGACCGAGAAUACGAAUCUCUUUGACCAGAUGAACUAGGAGGUGUGUCAUGAUAUCGAAGAAGGAUGGAGGGAACACCAACUCAAAGCUGACGAGACAUUGAACGACAUCAUUCUGCAGAGUAGCUAGUUGCUCUGGAUUGAUUGCCUUCUGAGAAAUUGCAUUAAGGAAUGCACAUAGCUUUACGGUGGCUAGACGUACGUGUGGAGGUAGAAUUCCUCUUAAAACGACCGGCAGCAAUUGCGUCAUUAGAACGUGACAGUCAUGGGACUUCAAGUUCAGGAAUUUCUUCUCUGGCACAUUAAUUAUUUCCUUGAUAUUGGAGAAGAAUCCAGAUGGGACCUUGAUGCUGCUAAGACAUUCAAACAUGCUUUCCUUCUCUUCUUUGCUCAGAGUGUAGCUAGCAGGGCUUAAGUAAUGACGUCCAUCAUCUGUCUUUUCUGGAUGCAGGUUGUCUCGUUCUUUCAUGCGCUGCAAGUCUUGUCGUGCUUCAAGUGAAUCCUUAGACUUCCCGUAGACACCCAUGAAUCCGAGCAAGUUCACACAAAGAUUCUUUGUCAGGUGCAUCACGUCGAUCGUGUUGCGGACCUCUAGGACAUUCCAGUAAGGUAGCUCCCAAAAUAUGCAUUUCUUCUUCCACAUGGGUACGUGUCCCUUAGCAUCCUUGGGAAUAGGUUCGCUGCCUCGUCCCUUUCCAAAUACCACUUUUAUAUCCUUGACCAUUUCGAGUACAUCAUCCCCGGUUCGAUUGAGAGGUUUGGUCCGGUGGUCUGCCUUGCCUUUAAAAUGCUUGCCUUUCUUUCGUACUGGGUGGUUCACAGGAAGAAACCGACGGUGGCCAAGGUACACGACCUUUCGACAUUUUUUCAAAAAUACACAGUCAAGGUCUUCAUAACAAUGUGUGCAUGCAUUAUAUCCCUUGUUUGACUGGCCUGAAAGAUUACUCAGAGCUGGCCAAUCAUUGAUUGUUACAAACAGCAAUGCUCGUAGGUCAAAGUGCUCUUGUUUGUACUCAUCCCACACGCGAACUCCUGGUUUGCUCCAUAAAAGUUGUAGUUCCUCAACUAAUGGCCUAAGGUAGACAUCUAUGUCAUUGCCAGGUUGCUUCGGUCCUUGGAUAAGCACCGGCAUCAUAAUAAACUUCCGCUUCAUGCAUAGCCAUGGAGGAAGGUUGUAGAUACAUAGAGUAACUGGCCAAGUGCUGUGACUACUGCUCUGCUCACCGAAAGGAUUCAUACCAUCUGUACUUAAGGCGAACCGCAAGUUUCUAGCAUCAUUUGCAAAAUCUGAGAAUUCUCUGUCUAUCGCUCUCCACUGGGAUCCAUCGGCAGGGUGUCUCAGCAUAUUGUCUAUCUUACGGUCUUCUUUAUGCCACCGCAACAACUUUGCAUUGUCCUUAUUUCUGAACAGACGUUUUAAUCGUGGUAUUAUAGGAGCAUACCACAUAACCUUGGCUGGAAUUUUCUUCCUAUGUCGUUCUUCACCCUCAACAUCGCCAGGAUCAUCUCGUCUAAUCUUAUACCGUGAUGCCUUACAUACUGGACAUGCAUCCAAAUUCUCGUAUUCCUCCCCACGGUAGAGGAUGCAGUCAUUAGGACAUGCGUGUAUCUUCUGGAUUUCUAAUCCCAAAGGGCAGACAACCUGUUUUGCUUCAUACGUAGUGGUGGGCAAUUCGUUGCCUUUCGGAAGCAUCUUUUUUAUGAUCUUCAAUAACUGCCCAAAUGCCUUGUCAGAUGUACCAUUCUUUGCCUUCCAUUGCAGCAAUUCUAGUGUGGUACCCAGCUUUUUUUGCCCCUCUUCAGCGGUGGGAUAUAGCGAUUUCCUGUGGUCCUCUAGCAUGCGCUCGAACUUGGCUUUCUCUUUAUCACUUUCACAUUCUCUUUGUGCAUCACGGAUGGCAUCACCAAAAGCAUCAUCGCCCCGAUCAUCUUCUGCCGCCACCUCUUCUUCAUUAUCUCCCCCCAUUGCAACAUCAUUGAAGCCACCGUACUGAGCAAUAAUAUUGGCAUGGUCCAAUUCUUCUUCUUCUUCUUCUUCUUCUUCACCUUCAUCCAUUAUAAUCCCGCUUUCUCCAUGUUUGGUCCAACAAAUAUAGUUUGGUACGAAACCAGACUUUAAUAAGUGUGAAUGAAGAGUUCUUGAGUUAGAAUAUUCCGUCAAAUUCUUGCACACGGCACAUGGACAGCACAUGAAACCGUCCCUCUUAUUUGACUCGGCCACACUUAAGAAAUAGUGCACGCCAUUAAUGAACUCUUCGGAGCGCCGAUCGGCAUUAUACAUCCAAUUACGUGUUACCAUCUGCAUUAAAGAUAACAUAUAUAUUAUGAAAACCAUGCACACAUAUAGUUUCUCAUCUUAUUGCACAACAUGUCUAAGAUACAUAGUUGAUUAAUUUAGAAAAACUUGGCUACAACAAAUACAAUCGCAACUAGCAUUAAAAAAAAUAAAACUAAAAUGCACUUAAGCAACAUAAUUAGUUCGCGUCCGAUCCCAACUAUAAUAGAUAGAUCAUUCGCUUGAUCAACUUCAUUGAACUUCUUUCGUCGGCUCACUGCCUCACCACCUUCAGCCUCAACCACCUGUGCAAAAGAUUUCUUAAUGUGUUCAAUGUAUUCUUCCUCCCAGUACCAACCUGUACAUCCGCCGGUACCGUCCCACUGAAAUUAAAAGAGAGAAUCAAAAGUUUAAUUAAUAUCAUUUAAAAAAAUAUGCACAUAUAUAAGCAAAUGUCUGGAAAUAACUCACAUUACGAUCUGGACACUUGUAGAAUAUACGACCCUUGUUUACUCCCUCUUUCGACACUUUGUACUCCAUCAAAAUCUUCUGCCCACACUUGCCACAAGUAAUGAGAGGGAGUUCCGGACGGUAUCGCUUUUGAACCCGUUGAGAGACGGAAGACCCGGUCACGGUUGCCAUCUACUAUCCAUACUCAAUUUUAAAACAAUUAUAAAUUCCACAUUUACUAGUAAACAUGUAUGAUACAAUGGACAUUAUAUGUAGUAAUAAAAAUAAAUCAAGUGAUAUUAACAAACCAAUUAAUUUGAACUAUCCUACUUUCUAUGAUCAUAAAAAUAUACUAUAAUUCAUUCUUGCAAAAUAUAUUAAAACUAGGUCAACCAUGAAAUAUGAUAUAUAUAUAUGGAUACUAAUUCAUGUGAAUGAUUCAAAAUAACAAAGUGGAUUUGAGCUAAAAAUGAUGGGAACAUCACAAGCCAAAAACAACAUGAAAAAGACAAGAAAGGCUGAAGUUAGUCACCUCUAAGCGCGAAGAGACGAUGACGGAGUCGAAGAAGAUCAACGAUGGGCGUUGGAGAUGAAGAACAAAUGAAGAACAAGCAAGAAGAAGCUCCAAGAACAACAAUGGUGCUCUCGGUUUCAAAUGGGCAGAGGGGAGGAGGGAGCCGGCCUAUAAACCGGACCUUUAGCACCGGUUCAGAGCAAAAACCGGUGCUAAAGGGUUACCUUUUAGCACCGGUUUGUAACACAAACCGGUGCUAAAGGGUUUGCCUCGGCCCGUGGCUCUGGCCGGUGCUAAAGGGACCCCUUUAGCACCGGUUCUUGUUACAAACCGGUGCUAAAGGGUCCCUGCCCCGACAGCACAUGUCAGUAGCCGUUGGGCAGGACCCUUUAGCACCGGUUUGUCACACGAACCGGUGCUAAAGGGGUCUUUAACCCCGGGCCGCAAAAAGGCCGAGGUUUUUGGCCAUUUUGGGCAUCGACCAAUGCCUCAUUCUGUAGUAGUGCGCGCCAACAAACAAAGCCAAAUGUACGAGGAGGAGCACGCAUAGUAGUCCUCUUUUGUGACAGGGACUGCAGCGCGCCAAGUGUCGGGCCGAAAAUUUUUUGCGUGCGCGUACGUCCCGAUCCGUCGUUUCCGUUGGUGGUAGCUCCAUCAUCGCCGCGGCGGAACACUUGUGGUGGCGCGCGCGCAGCCACCACGCACACCUUUGCCCUGCCUGCCUGCUUUUAAUUUCCCGAGUGGCAGCCAAAGUGCGCUCGAUGCCCUUCCCUUGGCAACGAAGCAAACGGAGGACUGCGGCUGCGGGCGCAGCAAAAUCACGUACGGAUCCAAACCCCAAGCAAAAGCGUGGGCGGCGCCACCGGACCCCCGGACCGGACCCGACGCGCGCGUCGCUUUUUCGGCAGCUGCGAGCGCCGGCCGCGCGCGCCGCCGAUCGUGCAUGUGGGAAUGCGUGGGAUGCGCCCGGCGCGUUUCGCAGCCAUCUGAUGGCUGAUGAUCGUGUCGACCGUUCGUUCACACGUACGUGCAUGCUUGUACACGGAUCAUGUGGGCGCACACGGUAGGCACGCAGGCACACGAACGUUCCUCGCGCGCGACCUCCUGCGUGCUAUGUAUCGUCCGGUCUCGUAUGAAAGUGCAUAUACACUCGCGCUAGUUAUAGUACACGCACGCUAUAAUUGCAAGUGGCAACUUGCAAGGCCCGCACCGAAUCCGUCUGUCGUCUAUAGUGCGUCCCAUUCGAUCGUCAGCUAAAAAAAAUGGUGGUGAAACAGAGCAGAGGAACCAAUGUGCAACGAAAGGCACAAAAAAAAAAGGUUGCCUUGAAAAUUUUUUGAAUUUCGGCAUUGUAUCAUUUUCGUUUUUAUUUCACAAAUAUUAUCUAAUUAUAAGCAUCUCCAACAGUUCCCUACUUCUCACUUGCCAAAUUGCGAGUUUUAGCAAGUUGCUAUAAUGAUUUACCAAGUUGAAAAAAGCUCAUCUCCAACAGUUCUCUAUUUCUCCUUGCCAAAUAAAAAAAAAAGAGGAGGCCCAUCUCGUUUAGUUUGUUGACCGGUACUUUGCCUGGCCGAUCGAUACCGCUUCAUCCAUCGCGCGAUCUCCUCUAUCGCGCACGAACACGGCGCCUUCCUCACGCCGCCGCUGGAACACGUCGCCGUGGUGGUGAAACAGGACAACGGCGCCCCAGCCCCCCCUGCCGCAGGUCAGCAUCUCUCCCUUGUAGCGCUAGGGUUUUUUUUGAUCUGUAUGCCCGUUUAUGUGAUCUAGGUAUUGAUGUUGAUCCUCUCUACUCGCGAUUAGAAAUCAUGCCUAGGAAAAGAUCCCGUGCUAGAAGAGUACUAGAGGAGUCAUCAUCCGAUGACGAUGAAUUGCUAAUAUUAUCGACUGCUCAACUUGUGCAAGCCGCCUUCUCCAAUGAAAAAGGAAAACACGGUGGCUCUGUGAAAGGUCAUAGAGUUCUUCACCGUGAUAGACAAGGCGGACACAACAGGAUGUUUCAAGAUUACUUAGCGGACAAUCCAACAUACACCGAUGAGAUGUUCCGUCGGAGGUUCUUGGUAUUACAACUUUUCAUUAAUUUGUUUUACAAGCUGAAAUCUUAUUGUAGUUAUGAACAUUUUUGUUUUGUUCUUCAGGUACAGGAUGUCUAGGGACCUUUUCAAGCGCAUAAUGAAAGCUGUGGAAGAGCAUGAUGAUUACUUUGUCCAGAAAAGAAAUGCGGCCAAUGUUCUUGGACUGAGUUCCUUCCAAAAAAAUCACUGCAGCAAUGCGUAUGCUUGCAUAUGGGGUUCCUGCUGAUGCGACAGACGAGUAUGUUCGCAUUGGCGAGAGUACUGCACUUGAGAGCCUGCGCAGAUUUGUUCGGGCAGUUAUUGAAGUUUUUGGUGAUGAAUACCUCAGGAGCCCUAAUGAAAAGGACAUAGCACGCUUACUUGCAUUGGGUGAGAAAAAGGGAUUUCCAGGCAUGAUAGGGUCCAUUGAUUGUAUGCAUUGGGCAUAGAAGAACUGCCCAUAUGACAAACAAGGUCAGUUCAAGGGGCAUUGCGACAAGCCCACUAUCAUUUUGGAGGCUGUUGCUUCAGAAGACCUUUGGAUAUGGCAUGCCUUCUUUGGAAUGCCCGGGUCUCACAAUGACAUCAACGUUCUUGAUAGAUCUCCCUUGUUUGAUAACUUGGCGGAAGGUAUUGCUCCAGAAGUGAAGUUUACCGUUAACGGCCAUGACUACACAAUGGGUUAUUACCUUGCAGAUGGUAUAUACCCCUCAUGGGCUACUCUCAUCAAGUCCAUCACUCUGCCUAUGGGGAACAAGAAGCAAUAUUUUGCCAAAGCACAAGAAGCCGCGAGAAAGAUGGUCGAGAGAUCUUUCGGUGUUCUUCAAUCAAGGUGGGCAAUUAUUCGAGGACCCGGACGCCCUUGGGACAGUGAGACUUUGGCACUGAUCAUGAGGGCUUGUAUCAUCAUGCACAACAUGAUCAUAGAAGAUGAAGGAUACGUGGUUGAUCCUCAGAAGCGUUUUGAUUAUGGUGGUGACAAUGUGGAGCCUGAACAUGGUAGAGCUCAUCGCACACUUGAAGAAUAUAUUGAAGCGCAUAGAAAGAUCAGAGACAAGGACACCCAUGUGCAGUUGAAGGAAGACCUCAUCGAACACCUGUGGAACAAUCAUCCAGAUUUAUAUUUGUACAAUAUAUGAUUUCCUAUUUUAUAUUGUUUAAGCACUUUAGUCUUAGCAAAUUUAUAUUGUUUCAAGCGCAAUGAACCCUCUAUAUUUUAUAGUCAAUUUUGUAUGAAAUAUUCAAGUGAAAACAUUUGUAUUAUUUCUAUUUUUAUAGUGCUUCUUGUCUGUGUGAAGGAUAUUAUGAAAACAUUGGCAGGUGAUGGCGACAAAGUGCUCACGUAUAUGAAAUACUAGAGCAUGGCCAAUUAACACAAAAGCAAAUAUUCGCCAAACAUAAUAAUUUGGUAGCUGGUACAAUAUGUAAACUGAAAUAGACUAAUUGUUCAUUGCAUAAAAAACUAAAUUGAUAGCAACUUGAUUUGGAAAAAAAGCAACUAAAUUUCAGCUUGAGUUCCAUAGCGCUUGGCAACAAUGUCCUCCUGCAUCAUCUUAAGCCAUUGAAGCUGCGCCGGGUUUAGGCCAUUGAAGCUCGCCAACAUAAUAUCUUUCUCUUGCUUUAGCAACUCGGCUUCAGCUCUCUUCUGCUCAGCUUCAGCUCUCUUUUGGUCAGCAUCAGCUCUCUUGAGUUCAGCUUCAGCCCUUGUCUUCUCCAGCGCUAGAUUUUCCUUGUCAACCUCAAGGGCAGCCACAAACCUCUCUUGUUUUGACUUUUCUUUUUCCUUAUCGGUCUCCUCCUUCUUUGCCCACAUCUUGUCGAUCGCCUCCGCGCAUACUUCCGCACCACCUCCCCGAAGAUUAGCUUUCACCUUCUUAAUUCCAUCUGACCUUUUCCUGGGCUGUGUUUCUGGCACAUCAGCAGCUGCGGCUGAUUUUUCAGAGCUGGUUUCUUCUUCAUCCCUUGGCCUGGACUCCUUUGAGGCCUUCUGAGUCUUUUUGUUUUUUUCCAGUUUCUCAAGCUCUGCGAUCUCUACCAUCUUGGCUGCCCACUUGUCUUCAUCCUUCAGUACGUUCCAACAAGGGAUAAGAGUGAAUUUCUUUUUGUCCUUGUCUUCCUCCAUGUACAACUUGCAUGCUGCAGACACCUGCACAACAAUGUACCAAUUUAUAUAUGAGUCACAAACAGAUUAAAAACAGAUUAAAAGCAGAUUAAAUUUUUUUUGGUAAAACAGAUUAAAAGCACGACAUAACCCUACCAUGUCUGUGACAGUGUGUCCACUUUGAUGCUUGCGUUUAAUCGCCUCAUAGCAUCCGCAAAAUUUGUUCACUUGAUGCUGAAUUGUGAACCACCGAUGCAUAAUGGAACUCUCUGUCCGCACAGUUUCAGUUUUUUUGUUUUGCUCAAAAUAAGCAUGAACUCGAUCCCAAAAAGUGUUACGAGUUUGGUUGGCCCCAUUGAGAGAAUCCUUGCUAGCGUUCAACCAGACGGAGCAAACAACUUCAUCUUCCUUGAAAUGAAAAUUCUUGGAACGCUUGGUAUGGUUCUUACUCUUGUUAGCACGACUUGUAGGCACGAUUUCAACAUCGGCAUCUGGACUAGACUGUGUACCUGUAGCUGGGGAGACUGGAAUGGCGAGGUCGUCCAAACCAACAACAUGUUCGGCUUGUCCAUUCAGGAGAAUGCCCCCUAAGAAAUUUUCUUCUUCCGUAUCCAUCAUUCUAAACAAGUGCAAUUUAUCAUCAGCAACAUACUAUGUGUACAAUCAUCAAAAACUUUGCAACCCCGACUACGUACCCCGACCAACAAUUUAUCAUCAUCAACGUACAAUAAUAGAGUAUCAUCAAGGAACAGCUAGUAACAUACUAUAUGUCCGAUCAUCAGCAAGGAAUAAACAACAAAGUACCCAUGAAUGUAUGCCGUAAAAUUCAGAGAAGUAUCCUAAAAUAUUUGCAUCAGAAUUAGACAACUAUCAUCAAUCUAUGCAACAAACAUACAGUACCAUCAAUCUAGACUAUCAUCUAUCACUACAUGCAGGAGGUUCACGCGAACAGAUCGAAUAAACACACGGCCAUGAACUGAUUCUAUCGCGAGAUCAAUUAAUCUACCAGCUGAACCCUAGCCUAUCGAUGAGAAAGGCAUGAACCUGAUCGCAAACCUGGAUGGCGGCGCAAAACUGAACCCUAGCCUAUCGCGAGAUCGAAGACAACGGGGAGAACCACGUACCUGAUCGCAAAACUAAAUGCCGGCGCAAGGAGGACGGGCGCGAUCCGCGAUCACUCGUCCGGUUCCCUAGUGGCGGCGCAAGGAGGACGAUCGAGAGGGAGGACGUGCGGGAGGGAAGAGUUUCAUGCGGGAAGGAAAAGUCCGACGCGCGCCAUCCACCCUCCGAGAACCGCGACGCUCGAUGGCAAGGAGAUGCGUGUGCGCAUUUUUACGCACCGGGAGGCUCUCGAUGGCAACUUGGCAAAAAUUGGCAAACUAAAUGGAGAACUGUUGGAGAUUGAAAUUUUGAUGUUUUGCCAAAUUUUAGAGGAUGGCAACCCAUAUAGGGAACUGUUAGAGAUGCUCUAACUAGGCUCAAAAGAUUCAUCUUAUGAUUUACAGGCAAACUGUGCAAUUAGUUUUUAUUUUCGUUUAUAUCUAAUGCUUCAUGCAUGUGCUCUAAGAUUUAAUGUGACGGAGAAUCUUGAAAAGUUUUGGGUUUCGGGGUGAACUAAACAAGGCAUAUAUUAGUAUCUUCUACAGUAGAUACCACUCCGUAAACAGUGGUCGAAUCAAAACCACUGUUGAGAUGCUUCAUGCAUGCUUCGGUUUCACAUAUAUAGACAUAUAUAGCCUGUUACGAAUUAGUAAUAUAAAUGUACUUUUACCGUUCCCAUAUAAAGCUCCUCCAUCCGUAAGAAAAUAAGGAAAAACAAAACAGAAUACCUUGCAGAAAAGAAAUAAACAGACAAGAAAAUAAAAAUCUACGAAUAACAUAUAUACCCUAUCUUCAAGGAAUUUGGCUCCAUCGAACCUGAUACCUCAGACAUUUCUCGAAACCACAACUUCACUCAUGAGCACACAAAUGGAAACAUUAUUUUUUUUUAUUAUUUCUCAUUUUUUUUUUCCAAAAUCACCUCACCGGGAAAUUGAUUCUUCUCAACAGAAGCAGAAGAGACCCAAAAAAUUUGCAACCCAUAUCACAUACCCGUGCCAGCUGUCACCAGUCACCACCAAGCCAGACCCGUUAGCCCGCGACUCCACCCGCGUUGCCCCUCUAUAAAUACCCGCGCCCUCCGCACCUUUCCCCACCACCAGCAGAGAUCUCGUGCUCGCCGCUAUCAAUUCGUUCCUUCUCCACAGCAACACAUCCGCCUUCUAGAACCUUCUCGCCGCCGCCGCCGCCGCCACCACCCGUCGAAGCGAAGCAAAGCAAUGGCCGGAGUCGGAUCGAAGGCCCUCGCCGUGGUCGCCGUCCUGGCGGCCGUCGCCCUGUCGGUGGCCAACGCGGCUGAUGCGCCCGCGCCCAGCCCCGUCUCCGCCGCCGGCGCCGCGUCGGCGCCCUUCGCCGCGGCACUCGUCGCCUCCGCCGCCUCCUUCCUCUUCGCCGCCGUCCGCCACUGAGCCGAUGGGGGCCUGAUGCCUCGUGCCUGCCCUGCCUACCUACCUAGCAGUACUUCCACCACCGCCGCCUUCGCCGCCUAGAUCUAUUUAUUAUUAUUGGAGUGUUAUUCAGUAGUAGUAGUAGUAGGGAGAGAUUUCUUCGUAGCUCUCGUGUCGUCGUCGCAUUUUGGUCGGAUCUGGUGUGUCCUUGGUGGAGGUUGGGUUUCUACCGUAUCGUGGUGUGUGUGUGUGUGUGUGUCGGUUGUGUGAUCUGAUGAUCCCCCCUUGUAGAUACUCUGCUUUCAUCUCGCCGUGAUCGUGAGUGGUGAUUCUGUCUGGUUGCUACUGAUAUAUUAUUAUUUCUUCUUAUUAUUAUUGGUCCCAUUUGAGACAUGUGUUGUUGCUGAUUUGUGUAUUAUUUCUUUCUCUGCGCUUGAUUUAUCGUUUACUCUGCUGCGUUCUGUGUAUUGUUCGCUCCGUCGCUGCGAAAUUUUGCGUCGCGGUUGGGAUCCGUGACGCGUUAGAUUUGUUUCUACUUCCGAUCCGCGUCGCGUUGCAUCGACGCAGGUUCUUUUUUGUUGUUGCCAGGAAGUAAAUUAAUUAAUUAUUACGAUCUGAAAGACUGACUGACUGGGCUUUAACGUGUCUUGGUCUGUGGUGUGUUUCGAUCUGGGUAGUUUUUUAUUUCUGAUGAGGAUUCUCAGUCAGGCAGGAGAAUGAACCUUGGGGCGUGUGUAGUUUAAUGCCCUUCCUCUGCUGACAAAAGAUUGAUUCGGCGUCUUGUUUAUGAAGGUCAGAAACUCAUGAAUAGUGGUGCCCAACCUUCAUCAGUUCCUUAAUAUUUUGCUCUGAAUGCAACAACGGCAGAAGUGGCAAAUCUCAGUGCGGAUUCAAAAUUCCUAGCAAACAAUGCCGGCAAAGUAAACAUGGACUGGCGAGCGACCAGGAGCAGCACAUGAUCGCUGUUGUUGAGGCAUGGAGCCAUAUGACCGCUCCUUUGGACGGUCCGGUCAGAG